This is a long non-coding RNA of Apis cerana (Asiatic honeybee), 1680 nucleotides long. RefSeq lists it as uncharacterized. Lineage: Eukaryota; Metazoa; Arthropoda; Insecta; Hymenoptera; Apidae. The record is from RefSeq and is a predicted model, not a curated record.
GUUCAGUCUGAGCGGGUAGUCGGUGUUGUCGUUUCGUUUCCCCAGGCCGAAACUGUAUUGUCUUCGUUUCCCAAGGCCGAAGGAGUAGUCGCGCCCUCUCUGGAAUAAUAGAACGUUUCGAGAAUGGGUUUGAGAAUCAUUAUGCUUGAAUGGCUUCACAGUGGAUAUGAAGAUUUUAAUAAUCCUGAUAUUCUCACCUUGUUGUCAUUGGUAUCGAUCCAACGCUUUCCAAUACCAAAAUUGUAGACGGGUAGCCUCUUAUAUUCGGAAACAUAAGUGUAUGCUCUCUUUUCAGGCACGGUAUCGUCGAACGCCAUAGGACUCAACAUAUUGUUAUAAUGUUGAAGAUUCAUAGACGAGGCUGGUGUUUCCUCCAUAGCUAAGGCUGACCUUCCCACGAUCCCGACGAAAUAGAGGAAAGCCAAGCUCGAUGUCAGAACACUUGUCCUGCUCCUCAUUCUGCACUUUGCCUCUUUUUAAGCCUGAUUUCAAAAAAAAAAAAAAAAGAUAAAUUGCAAUUGAAAUCGAUCGAUCGAUUCGAAACGAUAGUUUAAAAUUAAAUUCUCAGAGUUGGCGCACGGAUAAUUUUAUUCGCGCAGGGAGAAACAUUUUGAUUUCGAAGCAAAUCAGUUUCCAGGUUUCGAAUUGAGUUGGAAAAUGUCGCGAUGAAUAGCGAAUGACACGGAUUCUCGAAAAUUGCUUUUCCACGUAUCUAAUUUAUCAAGGAUUUGUGGUUUUCCCAGUUCGAAUCGAGUUUUAUACUUCUGCGAAUAUCGUGCUAUUUCGUUGGAAAAUUUUUGGUUAUUAAAUUACUAAUCCCAUUAAUUUUGUUACCAUACUCUGUAUCUCAUUGAAAUUCAAUACUAUUAAUUAAUGAUAGACAAACUGUUCAUUUAAAUUUAUCAUUGCUGCUGUUUACUUAUUUCUUUUUAUUUAAUCCUUUAUCAUAAGCCAUGACUUAUUUUACUUAAAAAAAAUUCUUAAAUGAUUGUAAAAAUAUUUGUGAAAUUUAUAACCAGAAAUUCCUUCUUUUUUUCCACGAAAUGUUCGAUCGUCAUAUUUUCUAUCCAAGAUUUUUGAUUCUCAGAAUUUCGGUUCACGGUUUAUCGUUGGAUACCGAGAUUGUUGGCUCGUGAAAAUUUCAGUGGCGACGUUUACCGUUUCAUUUCUGCGAGAAAUUAAAUCGGCCUCGAUUUAAAGUGGCAAUUCCGCGCGAGGGACGAGGGCAACGCGAGGGGAAAUGGAAUAUACGCUUUCCAGAGCUCAUCUCGUUUAAUUUGCAGGAUUUACAAUCGUUUCGUGGUUGUUGAAAGAAUACUUGGAUGCGCCGGAUAUCCAAAUAAAUCGUGAAGAAUUAACCACAUUGCGCUUUCCAAUUUGCAAUUUGUGAUCUUUUUUCGAGGGAUAGAAGAUAAAAAGAAGGGGAACACGAACAAUUGUCUGAUACAAUUCGGAAUUGAACGAAGAUUUUUAAAGAUUUGAUUAAAAUUUAUGAAUGAAUUUUAUUUACGAAGACGUUUAAAUUAAAUGAAAUUAACGAAGAAUGAUGUUGUAUCUAUGAAAAAUAAUUAUUCUAUUGCAUAAGAUCAAUAAUACGUUUGUGAAAAUAUAUUAAUAAAAAUUAGAAUACAAAGAGCAGUGGCUGUAGAGAGAGAAAUAAAAUAUCGCUUAAAAAUAAAA